ACAAAGUUUCUAUGGGGAACCAGGAGCUUUUAUACAUCAGGUUCGAGGAAUGGUACCAGAUGUUGUUUCGGGAACCUCCGCGACCCUCUCUUAGUGGGACCAAGUCAAUCAUUUUGACAGACAGGAAAACAGAGGAGAAAGGUAAAUAGAAGAACAUGAUAUGAUCUGUCCAAGUCACAUAUGGAUUUCAUCGUGGACUAGGUCAGGUCACGAGUUUCACAAGAAAGGUCACAUACGAGUUCUUGAGACUCUCACAAUAUGCACCUCAACAAAUUCUCCCCCGACAGAAAACCCUUUGCCUUCCAUGCUUGUCUUACUCGUUUCUACAGUAUCAUUGUUGUGUCUUCAUUGUUGCGUGCAUGCGCGUUCGCCAUGUUGUUUGCUCCCCCCUAUAAUAUAUUAAAAAAAAGGCGAGGAAAAUUACCUCUGUUGCUGUUCUCCAUCCCUCUCCAUUUUUAUGGAUCUAUGCCUCCUUUCCCUUUCUCCUCAUCUACCCCUCUUUUCCUCCCUCCUCUCGGCCCCAAAUCCCAAAACUCUCGCCUUUUCGCCGUUGCCGUGUUGGACCGGGCUUAUUUUUGCUCGGGCAAACAUCCUCUCCUUCUCAUCUCCAUCCAGUCCUCUCUCCCCCCUCCUCCCCCUCGGCUGUCCUUCUCACUUCUCUCUGCUCUCACCCUUUCUCCUCUUAGUUCCAAUUUCCUCUGCUCGAAUGAGAUGUUGUGUACAGAAGAGAGUGUGUACCUUCCUUAUCACCAGCUCCGGUCCGGGUAUUAGGCGGGGGAAAUGGGCCUGUAAUGAAACAGAGUAGUGCUGUGCAAACACACACCCGUCACGUUUGUUGGUGUUUUAUGUGUGUGUGUGUGUGUGUGUGUGUGUGUGUGUGUGUGUGUGUGUGCGCGCAUACGUUCUGGCGAGUGGCUGAUUAAGGGUCGCCCUCUUUCUCAUCUCGUUGCUCUUCCCACUGUCCUCGCUUCUCUCGUCUUGUCUCGCUCCUUCAGCCUCUUCCCACUUCUCCUGUCCGUUACCUUUUUUAAUCUCUCUUCACGCCUCCCACCCUCUGUCUCUCGGGUCGUCAGUCUUUCCCUUGUGUUAUUUACGGUUCCUUUCUCUUCAGUGUAUCUUGUCAAUUUCAAUUGUACACAUGUUAUUUGGGGUGAAGACGUGUCCUGUGUCCAUACCGCGCGUGUGCUUGUAACUGUCUUUCUGUCCCCAGCAUCCUUUUCCACCCCCGCAGGAGCCUCCUCCACUGUGCUCCGUGUCCUCUUAGCUCCCCUGGUCCUCAUGCAUUGUACAUGAGUUGAGCGACAGCAGCAGAAGCCCUCGUGCUUCCCUGCUGAGGUUUGCCAUGACAGUCGUGUGUGCUCAUGUCAUGUCUGCAGAACUUGUCUCAGAGAGCGCACGCUCCCCCUGAGCCGACUCUAGCAGAAUCGUUCUGCGCUGUUGUGGUUGUUGUUGUCCUUUUUUUAAUCUUUCUACAACGCGCUCACAACCGAACAGACUUUGUUCAUGCUCCUCUUUGCACGCGCCGAUCACCCUCCAAGAGGGGGCUUGUUAUAGGAAGAUAGCUUAAGUGGGUAGCGUUGAGCUCUAAUGACGAGAGUGAGUGAUGAGUAGUCGUACUUGCAAGACAAUGAUACCCAAGGCUCGAUACCACUUAUUGGGAGAAGCUGCAAUUAGAAAUGUGGCCAAGUUGUAUUCAAAUUAAAAUCUUUUUUUUAUUUCAAACAACAUUUUGUAAAGGAAAAACAAAUCAUUAUUAAUAUUCAUGCUGUGAUAUAAGAGGUCAUCAUAUCCAUUAUAUUUGCAGUCAGUUGUCAGGACUGCAGGAUAAACAAAAUUCCAGGCAAUAUUUAUCCUCACAACUGGAUAUGAUUGAUUGAUGGUCAAUACGGUACAUUGACUGGCUCAGAGGUAGCACAGAAGUAGGGUUUGCAAAAACUGGGGCAGCCAAAAACAGCGAUCGAAGGAGAGCGGAUGGAGAGCUUCUGUAAGGUCAAUACGAGCUCACAACUCAGGGUUUAGAUUGUUGUUUUGGUUUUUUACGGUCGACGUGUACACACCGACAGCGGGGUAGUAUGGCGAGGGCUGCUGAGAGUGACGGAUUGGAACAUGCUUCGCCUCUGGCUCGUGCUCGGGGCGGCGCGGUCGCCCAAGUUGGUGGUUUUCAACAUUAAACAGCAAAUUCUCCCGGUUAAACGGAGGGAGUGAGUGCUGUGUAAAGUCUGUGUUUACCACGUUUGCUAUCAGAUGCACAUCUCUCGUCCCACUUGGUCACGAACGGCUGCAUGAUGUCUACAGUUCAGGGACGGGUCGGACUCUUAACACGCUGUCCGUCACAGAUGAAUACACCGUACCUCCUCCUCCAAAAUAUGGUAAUAUAAAGGUUUAAAUAUCACGAGAGCUCAUGCAUCAUGUCAUGUACACUAUGUAUGUUUUGUCACAAACGUUAAAUCAAUGCUAUGUUUUAUUUUGAAAACAGGAAAUGUGAUGUAAUUUGUCAGGUGACAGGAACCAGGAAGUCAAUGAAGAAUAUGGCUCAGAACUGCUGUUUGUAUUGGUAGCUUUUCAAUCCAGUUGAGUCUGCCUGCAUCCUAUACCUUUUUGAUAGCAUCGUUGUUAUACUCUUUCUCAUGUCAAUAAACCUGUGGACAACGGACCAUUGUCUUCAGAGUCGUGAUGUCAGAAAAGAGUUCGUCUAACUGCCAAGGUGUAUCGGAGCGCAUAUACCGAGGGCGGCAUAGUAAAACAACGCUUUCUACCGGGCAAGAUAACGCAGCCAACUGACAGAUGCUACUAACAACGUCAUCACACGCAACCAGUGGAUGACCAUCACAGCGGUGUCUAAACAGAGGUACGUCAACAGACAACGCCAUGUCCGAGAAAGCAACUUCAUUAAAGACGCGGUCCCGCGCUACAUGUUCUGCUACAUACUCAAGUGUAUCAUCGACGGGGUCUGCUGCUGCAAAAGCGAGAGCGAGAGCAGAGGCAGCAAAGGCACGCAUGUCCUACGCUAAAGAGGAAAUGAGCCUGAAGAUAGAAAAAGCUAAGCUAGAAGCCUCAAUAGAAAUGCUCAAAUACAAGAAAGAGACAGCUGCAGCUGUAGCUGAGGCCGAAGUCCUUGAAGCUGCGGUAGAGGCAAAUAGUGAAAGACAAAGUUUGAUGUCAAACUUGGAAUCUGCACAACGCACAGAACAAUAUGUGAUUGACCAAGCUGAAUCACUAAACACAGACGCUCAGCUGCUUGAUGAUGGUGUUGUCGCAAAAAGAGAGCCAAGCCAAAACUACGAAACUCCAACUUCAUCUAUCAAACCUGAAGCAGACUCAUUCCAUCCGGCUCAAGCCAAUAUAUUUUCCCAUCAUACACAAAGCCACAAUGCAGCUUCUCAACCAACUCGCCUCUCCUCACAGCAGCCUUACAUCUACGAAGAUGAGAAGGUCCACACGACACACAAUGUUCGGUUUGACAACCGCAAUGCUACUCCUGAGCAAGGUCUUAGACGUCAAAACGACAAAAGUCAUCCCGCUCUUAAAUCCUACCCCACAUCUUCAAACAACAAUAAUGAAAACUCCAACAUUAGCGACUUUGUAAGAUACUUUGCUCGUCGUGAGCUUGUGGCAACAGGCCUGCUUCAAUUCAACGACAGCCCUCAGAACUACAGAGCCUGGAAACGUUCUUUCCAGAACGCAACCAGAGGGUUGGACCUGACACCAAGCGAGGAAAUGGAUCUCCUGUUUAAAUGGCUCGGCAAAGAGUCAUCAGAACAUGUCGAGCACAUAAGAGCAAUACACAUCAACCAUCCAGCGGCAGGCUUGGCCAUGAUAUGGGACAGACUAGAACAAUCUUAUGGUUCUGCGGAAGUAAUAGAAGAUGCUCUGUUCAAACGUAUUGACGCCUUCCCAAAAUUAACAAAUCGAGAUUAUUCCAAACUAACAAAGUUGAGUGAUCUUUUAAAGGAACUAGAGUCAGCCAAAGAUGAAGGAGACCUGACCGGUCUCUCUUUCCUCGAUACAGCGAGAGGCGUUAACCCUAUUGUACAGAAGCUCCCCUUUGGUCUGCAGGAAAAGUGGGCGUCAGUUGGGGCAUCCUACAAGCAGCAAUAUCACGUGUCAUAUCCUCCCUUUGCCUGCUUUGUAAACUUUGUUAGCCAUGAAGCUAGUGUCAAAAAUGACCCAAGUUUCAACUUUUUCUCUUACUCAGACAUGUCUCUUAGGACAGAAAAAACAACUUGGAAGCCAAACAGACAACGUGAAGUCUCUGUUCACAAAACAGAGAUAUUUCCAAAAGAUACCUCUGGUCCUAGGGAACCCCCAACACAAUUCGCUGACUGUGAACAACUGUGUCCAAUCCACAAAAAACCUCACCCCAUACGCAAAUGCCGUGCAUUCAGAGAAAAGCCCAUUGCAGACCGGAAGACAUUCUUAAAAGAGAAUAACAUCUGUUUCAAAUGCUGCGCUUCAUCAUCACAUAUUGCAAGGAACUGCACAUUUAAUGUUCGAUGUUAUGAAUGUAAAAGUGAAAAACACCACACAGCGCUUCACCCUGGACCUGCACCUUGGGUUGAAGACACAAACUCGGUUCCAGAGCAUGGCGGGGAGGAGGAUAGCUUUCCACAACCCCAUGUCGCCACCAAAUGUACAGAUGUCUGUGGCGGAGACAUGACGGGCCGAUCCUGUUCUAAAGUAUCCCUCGUGAAAGUGUAUCCAACCGGCCACGCUGACAAAGCAGUGAAAAUGUACGUGAUCCUGGACGAACAGAGCAACAGAUCACUAGUUCGUUCACAGUUCUUCGAAAUCUUCAAUGACCAAAGUCCAAGUGCUCCUUACUCAUUGAAAACAUGUGCUGGAGUAAAGAAAGCGACAGGAAGAAGGGCCAGUGGCUACAUUGUGGAAUCUUUGGAUAAGACCGUCAGCAUUCCACUACCCAGCCUCAUAGAAUGUGAUGACAUUCCAAAUAACAGAGAUGAGAUUCCAACUCCAAAUGCAGCCUUUCAUCACGCACACUUAAAGUCAGUUGCACACCUCAUUCCAGAGAUCGACCCACAGGCCCAAAUUAUGCUUCUCUUAGGUCGGGAUAUUCUCAGGGUUCAUAAGGUCCGCAAACAGGUCAAUGGCUCACACAACCUGCCCUAUGCUCAAAAGUUGGAUCUGGGAUGGGUCAUCGUGGGCAAUGUGUGUUUAGGUCGCGUUCAUAAGCCACCAACAGUCAGCGCCUUCUACACUAACACCACAGAACGGGGACGCCCCACUCUCUUUGACCCAUGUCCUAACGUGUUCCGGGUAAAGGAAAGUUACAGUGACACCCAGGCCACAAACCACCUCCAACCAUAUUUUGUGGAGAUACCAAACUGUGAUGUUGACAGCCUAGGACAUAACAUAUUCAAGCAGGCCAAAGACGACAACAACAUUGCUCCAUCUAUCCAGGACAUCUCCUUUGUGAAAAUAAUGAAAGAUGGACUAACAAAAGAUGCAAACAACAGUUGGGUAGCUCCAUUACCCUUUAAAUGCCCACGUCAAAGGCUCCCCAACAACAGGCCACAGGCAGUGAACCGUCUCAAGUUGCUAAGGCGCAACUUUGAAAAGAGGCCUGAAAUGAGAGACCACUUUCUCAUUUUCAUGGACAAGAUGUUCAAGAAUGGUCACGCUGAGCUGGCCCCUCCUCCCAGUGUGGGUGGAGAACAGUGGUACCUGCCAAUAUUUGGGGUGUACCAUCCAAGAAAACCAAACCAAAUCCGAGUAGUCUUCGAUUCCAGCGCCCAGUACAACGGUGUGUCACUCAACGACGUGCUGUUGACUGGGCCUGAUCUGAACAACACACUGCUCGGUGUACUGUUGCGCUUUAGAAAGGAAGCAAUCGCUUUUACAACGGACAUAGAGCAGAUGUUCUAUUGUUUUUCAGUGAGGGAAGACGAUAGGAACUUCCUACGUUUUCUAUGGUUCCAAGAUAACGACCCCUCCAAAGACAUUGUGGAGUAUCGAAUGACGGUCCACGUCUUUGGAAAUAGCCCCACACUCGCAGUAGCAAUUCAUGGAUUGCACCAGUCUGUUCAGGUCAGUGAACUCCACAUUGACCCUGACGUCCAACGUUUUGUGAUGCGUGACUUCUAUGUAGACGAUGGGUUAAAGUCCCUACCCACAGUCGAGGUGCAGUCAACUUGCUGAAAAAAACACAGGACAUUCUCUCCAGAAGAGACAGAAUUAGAUCUUCAGCUCGAUGCUACAACCUUCCACUCAGACAGCAAGGUGGUCCUUGGCUACAUUUCUAAUGAAACCAGGCGCUUUUAUGUGUAUGUAAGUAACCGGGUAUUGCGUAUCCGAAGAUCCUCUCGUCCAGAUCAAUGGCGCUAUGUGUCAACAGAACAGAACCCCGCAGACCACGCUACACGUGCUGUCACUGCAGGCCGUUUGAAUGACACAAACUGGCUGAGCGGGCCCAAAUCUCUGUACACACCGGAGACCAGUACCUCAGAGACCACCCAUGAACUUGUGGACCCGAGUGCAGACUCAGACAUUCGCCCUCUGGUAUCCACUUUGAGCACUACGACAACAUCCAACCAGCUCGGUUCUCAGCGAUUCGCAAGGUUCUCAUCCUGGAAGUCGCUAACUCGGGCCAUUAUUCGCCUCAUACACAUAGCUCGCCUUUUCAACAGCACCUUGAAGAACAGCCUUUGUAAGGGCUGGCAUCACUGCAAAACAGGAUUCAAUUUUGAGGAGUCUAAUCAAGCAUCGCACAUCAUCUUUCGAGCAGUACAGGAGUGACUAAACUCUUUCUUAGGCCUGUUUCUGAGAUAGUGCUUCUUUUCCCCCCAGAGGCCUAGUGGAGUGAACUGUCUAGGAUUUAUUGGAUGGCGUGUAUUCACGCCAAGCAGGGAGUGUUUUGUCACAAACGUUAAAUCAAUGCUAUGUUUUAUUUUGAAAACAGGAAAUGUGAUGUAAUUUGUCAGGUGACAGGAACCAGGAAGUCAAUGAAGAAUAUGGCUCAGAACUGCUGUUUGUAUUGGUAGCUUUUCAAUCCAGUUGAGUCUGCCUGCAUCCUAUACCUUUUUGAUAGCAUCGUUGUUUUACUCUUUCUCAUGUCAAUAAACCUGUGGACAACGGAC
Non-coding RNA from Gasterosteus aculeatus aculeatus (three-spined stickleback), 7094 nucleotides. The record is from RefSeq and is a predicted model, not a curated record. NCBI's taxonomy places the organism in Eukaryota, Metazoa, Chordata, Actinopteri, Perciformes, Gasterosteidae.